CAAGUGUCCUGAUGAAGGAGGGCAUUUCAGACACCCGCUGUAGCCGUCAGCCACGGGACGAGAACAGGAAGCCGUGCUGUUGGAGUCUAGUGAGGAGGGCAGGCAGAUGGGCAUUUUGAAGCUAUUGAAUUGUACUGGUGUGGCAAGCAGCAAGAGGGAGAGGUCGCUGUCCAGGCUAGACUCCAUGGGAGCUCACUGGUUCUCUACUGCCUUACAAGCAUGCAAUCCUCAGAGACUGCCAUCAAGGAUUUCCACUGGCUGUACAUCUUCCGUGAUACUUCAGCCUGAAACCCAUCCCUAAUUGUUUUCAAGCCCUGGAUGAACGCUCUAUAUUCCAGUUCCCUUAUACAGACACUCAUUUAUCACAGCUACACCACCGUUUUGCCAGAUGACUCAGCCUCUUCUUAAUAUAUUUAGAUA
Long non-coding RNA from Cervus elaphus (red deer), 420 nucleotides. RefSeq lists it as uncharacterized. The transcript is spliced from 3 exons. Lineage: Eukaryota; Metazoa; Chordata; Mammalia; Artiodactyla; Cervidae. The record is from RefSeq and is a predicted model, not a curated record.